GGGAGGUGAGUUCUCACGGCGGGUUCCAAGUCGGAAGCUAGAGCACUCUGCACUCUGCGUCAGCGACAUCCAGAACCCAAGGCUCCAGAGGCAAGUCCUUCUGCUCCUUGAAGAUGCAACAUCCCUUACUCCCAGGGGUAAAGCAAUGUCCCACAUAGGAAGGACCAGGCCUCUUCCUGACUGAAGCCACCAGCAUCUGACCUUAGACCUCCACGCCUGCAAAACUAGAUGUGCUUAGUCUUGGCUCUUCCUCUGGGACAGGCUCAGGUGUCGUCUCUACAGCACACAGCACAGACAAUUCAGAAUUCCCAACAGGAGGGUCGCACGGGCUGUGUGAACAGGCGCAACAGAGCUCAGGCAGAGACCUGGCCCCUUGCUAGUGAUGUCACUGUGGACAGUCACCAUCUGUCUGGACCUCAGCUUCCCCAGCUAAACUGUGGGAGCAACAGCGCCUCCUGGGAAGCUGUCUGUGUGAAGAGAGCCAUGGCAGCCAAAUACCUCAUAAAAGACAAUAGCAGACAGCCAGUAACUAGCUGUGUCGUCCCAAGCCCAGCACUACUUGGGUGAGCCAGUAACAUGCUGAGAGAAAUAAGAGCUGGGGCUAAAUUAAAGGGGCAGGGGCAAGUCAUCAAUAAGAGAUGGGGAAGACACCGGGCUGUUUCCUGUCACUCCAUAUCCCCGACCCGUCACAUUCUCUGAUUUUGAAAAUAGCACGGAUACAUAAAAGUAUUUCUCCACCCUGGGAGAAGGGCAGUACUGUUUUGGUUUUCCAUGCCAGUCAGGAGGGAGAGCCUGUGUUCUUUGUGCAGUAGCCGAAGACAGAAGGCAGGCAGGGCUGCAUACAGGCUACCUCAGGACUCUACCAUUAACCAACGCCGCACCCUGUUCUGAUUCCUACCAGGCUGUGCAGGAGUCUUGGGCACACAUGCAGCCAGACCUUGGCUGGUGUGGGCCACAGCAGGCCAAGUCCAGGCUCACAUCAGUGCCCUCUGCACCAUGCCCCUAUAGCUAGAAAGGGUGGCUACUCUCUAGGCAAUAAAGGCAGGGGGGAUACUGGUCACAUCACCCCCAGGGCCUUCUCAUCCGACACUCUAGUUUCCAAAGUCCCAGGGGGAAGUCCUAGUCAGGAAGGAGAUGUGUGUGGAACAACCAGAGGCCACCUCAGCCUCCGGACGACGUCCAGGUGACACGCAUAACGACAGAGGAUAUAGUGUGAUGUCACGCUCCUAGAGCAGGCCAGAGAAAGCCAGCUAACUUUCCUACUGUCUUCUGGUCACACAAAGACUUGUCAACACGUCCUGGACACAGAGUGUUCUCAGACACUCCAACGUGAGCCUGAGCUUGCGUUAGCAGACAAGAACUGGCGUGUGUUUGUGUUCUGGAAAUGACCAUAACUUUAUUAAACUUCUGCCCAGUUAAAAAUGGCCAGGCUUGUGCCCGUGCAAAGCAGAUAUGGGAGCUACAGGGUUUCCAGGUGGUAAUCUUAGGGACAUAAAAUACUUUCUUAGAGUGAAAUAAAUAGGCGCCAUACAUCCUGAUAAAGUUCAAGCACUAGUAUCCCAAACAUGCUGAGGCCCAUGAUCCAUGGCAAGAAUAGGUCACACAUGAUUUUCAAGACCAACUACCACCUCAAAGGUA
Molecule: non-coding RNA, 1638 nt
Organism: Myodes glareolus (Bank vole)
Lineage: Eukaryota; Metazoa; Chordata; Mammalia; Rodentia; Cricetidae
Source: RefSeq, a predicted model, not a curated record